AGUGAACGCUGGCGGUAGGCCUAACACAUGCAAGUCGAACGGCAGCACAGUAAGAGCUUGCUCUUACGGGUGGCGAGUGGCGGACGGGUGAGGAAUACAUCGGAAUCUACUUUUUCUUGGGGGAUAACGUAGGGAAACUUACGCUAAUACCGCAUACGACCUACGGGUGAAAGCAGGGGAUCUUCGGACCUUGCGCGAUUGAAUGAGCCGAUGUCGGAUUAGCUAGUUGGCGGGGUAAAGGCCCACCAAGGCGACGAUCCGUAGCUGGUCUGAGAGGAUGAUCAGCCACACUGGAACUGAGACACGGUCCAGACUCCUACGGGAGGCAGCAGUGGGGAAUAUUGGACAAUGGGCGCAAGCCUGAUCCAGCCAUACCGCGUGGGUGAAGAAGGCCUUCGGGUUGUAAAGCCCCUUUGUUGGGAAAGAAAAGCAGCAGGUUAAUACCCCGCUGUUCUGACGGUACCCAAAGAAUAAGCACCGGCUAACUUCGUG
Molecule: ribosomal RNA, 492 nt
Filed under: uncultured bacterium
Lineage: Bacteria
Description: partial 16S ribosomal RNA
Rfam family: Bacterial small subunit ribosomal RNA
Source: RNAcentral